Molecule: ribosomal RNA, 511 nt
Filed under: uncultured bacterium
Lineage: Bacteria
Description: bacterial SSU rRNA
Rfam family: Bacterial small subunit ribosomal RNA
Source: RNAcentral
GAGUUUGAUCAUGGCUCAGAGUGAACGCUGGCGGCAGGCCUAACACAUGCAAGUCGAACGGCAGCACAGUAAGAGCUUGCUCUUAUGGGUGGCGAGUGGCGGACGGGUGAGGAAUACAUCGGAAUCUACUCUGUCGUGGGGGAUAACGUAGGGAAACUUACGCUAAUACCGCAUACGACCUACGGGUGAAAGCGGGGGACCUUCGGGCCUCGCGCGAUUGGAUGAGCCGAUGCCGGAUUAGCUAGUUGGCGGGGUAAAAGCCCACCAAGGCGACGAUCCGUAGCUGGUCUGAGAGGAUGAUCAGCCACACUGGGACUGAGACACGGCCCAGACUCCUACGGGAGACAGCAGUGGGGAAUCUUGGACAAUGGGCGAAAGCCUGAUCCAGCCAUGCCGCGUGAGUGAUGAAGGCCUUCGGGUUGUAAAACUCUUUUGGCGGGGACGAUAAUGACGGUACCCGCAGAAUAAGCUCCGGCUAACUUCGUGCCAGCAGCCGCGGUAAUCAAUCGCC